Molecule: long non-coding RNA, 748 nt
Filed under: Mytilus galloprovincialis (Mediterranean mussel)
Lineage: Eukaryota; Metazoa; Mollusca; Bivalvia; Mytilida; Mytilidae
Source: RNAcentral
GAAUUAAAUCAAUUUAAAUGUUUGAAACAUUAUUUUAUAAAAAGUAAAAACAUAGUAAUUUGUAAACACAAUUGUUAAUUGUUUACAAGCCAUAUAUGGUCAUGUUUAUUCACAAAUUCAAUCAUGCAUGUCGGCAUGUUUGUAAAAAUGUUCAACCAUGCAUAAGUAAUGACAUGGUACAUAUUGUUGUUUUAUUCAUAAACAUUAUAGGGAAAAAAAAAAGAUAAACAUGUGUAAUCACGAUUUAAAUGACUUAACUUGUGUAAUACAUAUACACGACGACAUACAAUAGAUCAGUAGAAACUUAAACAAAAAUUGCAUACUUACCAAAUGUUAUAAAAUAAGUUAAAUCCUGUUUAUAUAAGAAUAUUUAGACACAAUCAAUAAUGCGAUAACGCACAUGCUUGCUGAAACAACACUAACUAUGCCCAAUUUCUUUCAAUGGAAUACGGAUCAUUUGAUAAAAUCGAUAACGGAAAAGAUUCCGGAAAAGUUAAUGUAUAAAAAAAGGGAAAGAAAUUAUUUAACAAAGAUCUGUAUGUGUAUUCACAAUAUUUAUUUUAAAUAAUUGUGAAAUCAAUUGUACUAUAGAUACUAAUAUUAUGAAUAAGUUAUAUCUUACCAAAUAGUGCUUCCCUAAACUAUUAGGUAAACUAACAUGAGGGAUACUAAGUUACAAGCUGUAAACUUAGUAAAUUGUUACAGCAAAUAUGCAAUUAAGAUAUUAUUACGUUUAAAAAAAAAAAAA